GCUGAAGCAGUAACACCAAAUCUCCGUUGCCUAGAACUCAUUUCGCAUGUGAAACUUCCAAGGAAUCAAUAUCUUUAUAGUUUAUAUGACGUACAAGGGUCAUGUGGACAAGAAAGAUGCUGUGAUCUAUGCAGAGAGCAUUGAAGAAUCUUCAAGCAUUAACAUGAAGCAGUCAUCUGAAAUUUCUAGAGAGAGUGACCUGCCAAGGGAGAAACCUCCUCUGACUAAAUCUUAAGCCUUUUUCCCUUCAGUCUUCGAAUUCUGAGAUUUCCUUCUUAAAUUCGUGGAGGAAUGCACUGCUCUUCCAGAAGGACUUGAGAUUUCCCUUCAUACGUAGCAGAUGUACAGUGUCAAUAUGCUUGAGACACAUCCUGGUCCUGGAAGAAACAUUCACAGGGUUUCUGGAUAGCCUCGCACGUUGCUGUGGAGGAUGAGGAUAAAUGGAAAAUUUUCCAGGCCCACUUAUGUCAGAGCGAAAAGAUAUGGGUGCAGAUAUUGGAUAUGCGAAUAAUGUUGUUGGUUUUCGACCUGGUCAAGUAGGUAAUUGUGGGAUUCUAAAGAAUCCACGGCCUCAAACACCCAUGCAUGGUUGGGGGCAUCCUCUCAGGGCCAACGCAGUCCUUGGUCCUCAGGGAGUGUUAUGAAGAAAUAACUCCAAAUCGGAUAGAUGGCAGUGGGGAACUGCUUUCCAGAAAGGUUUGAUGCCUUCUCCUCAGACACCAACCCCAGUUAUGCACCUAGCUGAGAAGAAGUAAGUGGGUAAGGUUACUGAUGAUGAAGAAGAGGAACAGAUGCAGUUGAAGAGCAUAUUGAACAAACUCACAUCUCAAAAAUUUGAGAAACUGUUCCAGCAAGUUCAGCAAGUCAAUGUCGAUAAUGUAGUUACACUGUCUGGGGUCAUCUUGCAGAUUUUGGAUAAAGCUCUGAUGGAGCAUACCUUCUUGUUGCACCGUACUGCGGUCUUGCCUGAAUUGACACUUUCAAGAGAUUACUCUUGAAGAAAUGGCAGGAAGAAUUUAAGUGAGGAGAAAGAGAAGAACAAGAGGGGAGAAAGAGAAGAACAGGAGGCAAAUGAAGCUGAUGAAGGUGAUAGUAAACAGACAGAAGAAGAGACUGAGUGUUGGGUAAUAUUAGACUAAUUGGAGAAUUAUACAAGAAGAUGUUGACUGAAAGAAUAAUGCACGGAUGUAUUGGUAAAAUGUUUGGUCAGUAUCAGAGUACUGGUGAAGAAAACAUAGAAGCUCUGUGAAAAUUAAUGAGCAGAAUUGGUGUAAUGAUAGAUCAUCCGAAAGCGAAGGACCACAUGAAUGCUUAUUUUGACAUCAUUACACAACCAUCCAAUAAUAUGAAGCUGUAAGAUUCAUGCUGAGAGAUUCUAUUGAUCUGAGAAAGAAUAAGUGGCAGCAGCGGGGAAAAGUCUAAGGUCCGAAAAAGAUUGAGGAGGUACACAGAGAUGCUGCGCAAGAAUGGCAAGCUCAAACUAGCUGACUUGGUCGUUUCAAUCAGAAAGGGUCUGUCUAUGUAUUUUGCUCCUAGAACUCCUAGUAUGUUAUCUCCUCCAGGUCACAGAUCAGCAGAUUUUGUCCUGGUGGGCACAGCUGCGUGGCCAUGGCUCCCAGGAUGCUCAGAUGGAUGAGAGACAUUCCUAUGAGAACAGGAUGAUGUACAUUCCUCUGCCUCAAAGACCCAUUGGUCAUGAUUCCAUAACCCUUGGGCCACAAGGUGGCCUUGUCCGAGGAAUGGCAUUCGGUAGUCAACCAUCUGCAUAUGCCUCUCGUAUGGCUGAGAUAUCAAGUCCUGGAGAUGAACACAGGGUGGGACCUGGUCUAAAUGGAUUCAGUUCUAUUCCAGAACGGGCAGCUUAUGGCCAAAGAGAGGAUCCCAUGCCAAGAUAUGUGUCAGAAAGUUUUGGUGCUCCAUCCAGCUAUGACCGAUUGGUGAAAGGAAUGUUACACAUGGGAAUAGAAACACCAACCGCAUUGAUGAAUCUCUUCCUGCUUCUCCACCUGCUCGUGGUUCCGCUCCUCCAACUAGCACAGAAAAUAUGUGGCCUGAAGAGCACUUGCAGGACAAAUCAAUGACCACUAUUAAAGACUUCUACUGGUUUUUAUGUGCCCCCGGUCAGGAGGUUUGUUGUUUCAUUAUGUUUUUAUCAACCAGUUCCACUACCCUUGUUUUUAUUGAUUAUUAAGUUGGUUGAACUAAACGAUAGAUUUCUCAUUGAAAUUUUGAAGCGAGGUUGAAUAAUAAAUAUUCCAUUAGACACCUACAAAGACCAGGCUCAUUGUUGUAACUACAUUUCAUACUUCCCGUCACAUCUUGACUAUAUAAUUUGUUGAGAGGUGGCAUAUGGAUCAGCAGUUGGCAAGAAAAAGAAAUGAAUCAAAUUUUGUGUCGAAACUCUUCUGGUUUGACUUGAGCUAGGGAAAGAUUUAGAUUACUGCUUAUUGUAAAACACUUCUGGAGGUCUUUUUGCGUGUUCUUGACUCCUCGCCAGACCUCACUCCUUUGAAUCUUUCUUGGUGUUAAAAGCCAUGAGGAGAAACAAGGAUAAAUGAUUUUCUGAUGUCUUAUACCUGGCUGCGAACAAUAAUAGAGACAUUGAGGAGGUCUCAGCUUCUAAUGUUUUCGCGAAGAAGGUACAAUCAGUGGGAUAUUCUAGGGGGUAAUCCAUGGAUCUCAUGCUUUUAAAUGUGGGGAUAACAUUCAACUCUUGUUCCGGGAACAGGAGCUUUGGCCAUCCUGGCCACUUUGCUGUCUCUGUAUACUAGUCCCGAGAAGAUGUUAUAACUAGUCCAUUUCAUGCUAUAAAACAGUUCUCAUCGCGAUGAUUAGCUAGGCAUAUCCCACUUUGAUAGCUAUAGUUAGCAGGUUGAGGAGCGUUCUAGUCCGAUUGAAGAACUACUUGAGGCAGACGAAGUUUUCUGCACCGGAACUGCAGUUGGUGUUGCUCCUGUAGAAGUAUUACAUAUACCUAGGGUAACAGGUAAAAGUUCUAACUCCCAAAGCUGCAGUGCGUUUUCAUCUUUUUGUAGCUGACACUGUCCCGUUUCUUUGAACCCGAUAAGCUUUUGAGUACCUGGAUACCUGAGUAGGGUAUCAGGCCCCGAAAAAUCCGGUUCCCAAAUUGCCGAAUUUUUUAAAAAACAUUGAAAUGUCCUUUCCUGUUGAAUAAUGCUGUACAAAAAAUUAUUGUAUUGGAUGACUAGCAUUGAUGAUGAGCGAAAACUAAAAGCAUAAUGUUGUUGAAUAAUAUAGUACACAAUUCAAAUUAUGUGUGCGGGUUUGGUACCCGCAACUGCGGGUUUGGGAUACCCGAUGCGGAUAUGGGGUUACCCGUUUAACUAUACGGGUCGGGAUUGGGUAUUAUAAUAUUGAAGUUUUCGAGUACGGGUACCCGUUUCGAUACCCCUAGUUUCUUUACUAACGUCAGAAUCACGGUACAUGAGUUUAUUGGUAAUAACUUUUUCCUUUGGUUGGAGAUUCAAGUUACUUAGAAAAAUAGUACUCCUACUAGGGAUGUCAAUCUAACCCGAAACUCACGGGUCAACCCGAGUUACCCGGUAAAAUCAUAGGGUUAGGGCCGGAAAAUUGCAACCCAUAUUCAGAAGCGGGCUACAUAGGCUAACCCGUUCGGGUCGGCGGGUUAUACGGACUGGCCCGGGUGGGUUGUGGGUUAGCCCACAGGUUGAGCAUUUAAUAUAAAAUAUUAUUAAAUUUUUGGAUUAUAUAC
This is a non-coding RNA of Salvia hispanica, 3733 nucleotides long. The record is from RefSeq and is a predicted model, not a curated record. NCBI's taxonomy places the organism in Eukaryota, Viridiplantae, Streptophyta, Magnoliopsida, Lamiales, Lamiaceae.